CCCAUUUCCCAAUUAAUCAUGGCAUUGCAUGUUACUUACUUAGGCAUCCAACAGUGUUGAUUGGGUACCUUUCACUCUUCAUCUUUAAUUCAUUCCUGCAAGGCUCCAUGCAUGCCCUGAUGAGCUGAGCUGAGCAACGACAGUCGGCAGCGCCUUCACACUGGCCAUUGCAUGCAUCAGAUAUUCAGAGUUCAGACUCCUCUCUCUCUCUCUCCAAUACAAUUCUGAACAUGAUGCAUGCCAGGCUGGUAGAGAGAGAGAGAGAGAGAGAGAGAGAGAGAGAGAGAGAGAGAGAGAGAGAGAGAGAGAGAGAGAGAGUUCAGAGCAGAAUCCAUAGCAGUUAGCUUAGCAAUGUCACAAGAAAUAUGUGAGGCUGAUCACUGAUGGUGUGCCUUUGUCUUGUUGCAGGGAUGGAGGAAUAUAUGGAGCUACAGCGAAGGGAUCAACAGCUGUCAACCCCAAAAUUGGUGGUCUCCAUCGGCUGCAACUGCAUGCAUGUCCAUCUUGCACGAUCUGUCCGUACGGAAAAAGGACGCCAUCCGUAUACAUGUAUCUUCCUUUCUCGAUAUGCAUGCCGGCCGAAAAGUAGUAGAGUCGAAAUAAUAGCUUGCUGUAAGGUUUUUAUAGUCUUCUUUUCAGUCUAUCCAUACAAUAGUUAGAUAUUCACUAUUAAUAAAUGACUCAUUUAUCUCUCUCAUAAAAUUUUUUAGUUUCUAUGCUUAAGCUAGCUGUAAACUUACAGCUUCUCCUCUCUCUCCUCCCUUCUUUUCUUUAACUCGGUAUUUAGCUGGCUUAAUUAUAACCCACUAUAAUACUUACUCUAAUGCUUCUUGUUCAUUCUUCAUCCCUUAAUUUAUUUAUUAUCCGACAGAUAUAUGCCAAUAUAAAUAAUGUGUGUUCUCCUAAUUAAGCCUAGUAGUCGGAAAGAUAUUUUUGAGUACAUGUAUCAUGGGCUCACGGUUUGCAUGUUAGGUCUUGUUUGGCUACACUUAGGAUGGAUUUGGUUUUGGAUGAGGUGGUGGGAUGAUAGAGGUUAUGUUUGGUUGAAAGGACGGAGAUGUCUCUACUUUGUGUUUGAUUGGUAACAUAGAGACGAAAAGGACAUAUCUCUGUUUGUGUUCCGUUAGAGACCCAUUAGGUGAGAUCUGCUAGCCUGUUAGUGAGGAUGCCUAUGUCAGGUUGUGGUUAAGCUUACAACGGGGGUCAAGGUUGGCCGCGUGCUAGGGUCACCCGACAAUCCUCACCAGUGCUGCCUUUUUUGGGGUUGAGGUCGACUGCGCAAGUUGGAGUCGUGUGAAUGCAAGAGCAUGGCGUCUACGAGGGACAAGCUCGUACCUUAGUUUCUCAUGGACACCCGAGGACAACAUUUUCGAGAAAUAUUCCCUACCAUGACAAUCCCAUCCCACUUGUCUCCCAACCAAACAACAAAACUAAGUGGGAUAUCCGACUCCGUUCCUGUCCCAUCCCUCGACCAAACACAAUCUUGUUUGUACCGCAAUCCACAUGUAUUGGAGUAUAUUGAGGUGGAAACUAAACUAAAUUCUACUCCAAAAUCCACCCAACACAUGUAUGUAGCCUUUCAAAAAAAACAUGUAGGUCGUAUCUAUAGAUGUAGCUACAACUUGUAAUAGGUGUAUAUACAUUAGAGUGCUAGGUUCUUCUUUUAUUUUAUUUAGACUUUAUGGUUUUAUGCAGAGGUCAGAAAAUGAAUUAGUGAAUUAAUAAAUGAGUAUAAAAGAAUUAUAACUUCUUCCAAUUGAAACAUGGAAAUCAUGCAAGACCUUUACAUGUCACAAACACCUACUCCAUCUAUCUCAUAAAAAAGGUCAUUCACACUUUCCAAAUAAUCAAUUAUAUUUAACUUUGACUAAAUAUAUAUAACAAAAAUAUUAAUAUAUAUGGUACAUAAUUAGUACCAUUAAAUAUGUUUUUAUAAUAAAUUUAUUUAGAUAUGUAAAUACUGAUAAUAUUUUCUACGAAAUUAAUUAAAUUUAAAAAAAAGUUUAACUAGCACGAGUCUCAUACGUACCGACUCUUUUUAUAGGAUAGAGGAAGUACGUGGAAUACUUUUUUCUAUCAGACCUGGAUAAACUCCAUGGCCAAGAGUAUUGGAAAGUCAUGAAGGUAUCAAUCAAUACACAUUGAAUAUUUGGAGAGAGCUAUCACUGUUCCCAGGAGAUUCUUUUUGUCGAAUUUGUUCACCUGAAAGGCUACGGUGUUUAACGUGCUUAAACGUCGUUUCAAUCUACACAAUGCAUGGCCGGCCGUCCUCUUUAAAAUGACACAUUAUCCCAAUUAAACGUCCAUUUACUUGAUAAUUUGAUAAAUUGUAGUCUCUCCGUUCCAAUUUAUAGGUUAUUUUGGCUCUUUUUUUACACAAUUUUUUUAACGUACAUAGACAUAUCAUAUAUAUAUAUAUAUAUAUAUAUAUAUAUAUAUAUAUAUAUAUAUAUAUAUAUAUAUAUAUAUAUAUAUAUAUAUAUAUAUAUAUAUAUAUAUAUAUAUAUAUAUAUAUAUAUAUAUAUAUAUAUAUAUAUAUAUAUAUAUAUAUAUAUAUAUAUAUAUAUAUAUAUAUAUAUAUAUAUAUAUAUAAUUUGGAAGGUACGUACCAACCGUGGUAAAUUCCAUGUUACAACAUGAUGCUCGAUGCCUGUGUGUCUCGGUGACGACCAGCCCCUUGCUCUGUUAUGCUUCUGCCAAGUUAAGUUGCACAUGCUUUAGUUUGACCCUACCCCUUUACUUUCAAAAAGAAACAUUGCGUGUAUAUAUGCUUUAUAUUUCAAAUAUACUCCUACAUAGGAAUUGAACAUGGAAAACAUGAAAGGCCCUUAAAUACACGUCACAAGCACCUACUCCAACCAGCAGGAUAAACUCGACGACCAAGAGUCAGAGGGACCGAUCAAUAUAACCUACGUGCAUUGAAUAAUGGGAGAGCUGUCACCGUGUUAGCUAGAAGGUUCUUCCUAUAUUGAAUCCUGAGUCUUUUUCAGUAUGCAUGUAGGGAGAGAAUAAAGGAGUACUAUCAUCCUUCUGUCAGAAAUAUGUAACUCUACUGAAAUCUCUUUUAAGUCAAACAAUUAUAACUUUAACCAGCGAUAUCUAACAUUUAUAGAAUAUGACCGCACAUAAUCACUACUGAUAAAUUCAUUAUGAAAAGUGAUAUUAUCAUAUAAUAUAUUUUAAUAUCCAGAUGGAGGGAUGAAAGGUACAUCCUGAGUUCAAACAUAAUACUCCUUCCAUCUGAAAGGAGUGUAACUCUAAAUUAGAUCAAAACUAAACUGUUUUGAACUAGUUUUCAAGGAAAACUAUUAUAAAUUAAUCUAAGUUUAUCUAAAACGGUACCAACAGCUACGAUUCUAAAUAUGUAUACCUAUAUAAAUAUAUCCCAUGAAAAAUCUAACGGAUCCAUGCAUGUUAUCUGAUAUCGUGAGAAUCACUAUAUUUUUAUUAUUACAAAUUUGGAUAAACUGUAGAUAAUUUAUUUGACUUAGAAUUAUAGUCAGAAUUGCACUUUUUGGGCACGGAACACUAGCAUCUUUAUUCCCCACACGUGAAAACUUGUUUUUACAAUAUUCUAUGCAGGUGCUGGAGACGUAAAGACCAAGAGCCGGAAGAGGCCAGGCCACACCUUUUUUGUCAUGUUCAUCAAGGGGCAUCGUUUUCAUCCGCUGAGAGAAGAUUACGAGAGCGAUUGACCGAGAAAACUACUCCACGGGUCACUAGGGACGACAAGGAGCCACAGCUGUUGUUUACCGAGGACGAGGAGAGAUUUGCGCGGAAAAAAGAGGACGACGAGAUUUUUUUUAAAAAAAAUACUCGUAGCUCAUCGAUCGGAUGAUCCAACAUGCGUGUGCUCAAUCUUUCUGCAGCAGCUACUACUGCUGCUCCGGAGAAAUCUCUCUCUCUCUCUCUCUCUGAGAGAGCACAGGUACACAAUAAUAAAGUUAUAGGAAAAAAAAAGAGAAGAAAGAUGAUAACUAGAUAGUGAGAAAGCUAGGCACAGAUACAUAGAUAGUGAGAACCUAAAUAUCAAGUAUUGUGAAAAAGAAUAGAAAAGAGAAAGUAUUUUAGAAAUAAACAUAAGAUAACUUACCGUAUAAUUUAGCACUAAUUAUUUGGCUUAUAGUCAAGCAUUUCGCGACCUUCCUCGGCGCCGCCCUAUACCUGACCGUGACAGAGCCCCUGCAGGUCUCUCUGACACUAGAAUGUCCUAGGAGUAGUACUAGAGUCCUCUUCAUGCAGCAGAUGCAGGUCUCUACUAGUAGCACACAAGAAUCCGACUGAACGGUUGCAGUGUACCA
This 4301-nucleotide long non-coding RNA is filed under the name Sorghum bicolor (sorghum). RNAcentral's name for it is "long non-coding RNA (SBIC_LNC018407)". The record is from RNAcentral. Lineage: Eukaryota; Viridiplantae; Streptophyta; Magnoliopsida; Poales; Poaceae.